UAACAAAGCAUUAAAUUACUUAUAAAAAGAUGUAAAAAAUGGUUUAUUACAUGCGAAGGAGGAAAAACAUGGCUCAAAUUCUCAUGUUUUUUUAUUCUUUGAUCAUCUUUUUUUUUCUGUUUCUAGUUGAAACAAAGAGAACUAACAUUCCCUGCUUUUCCGAUGAUGAUUGUCCAAAGACGUCCCCUCCUCUAGUUUUGAAGUGCGAUGAUUAUUUUUGUCGGUACUUUAGGGAGAAAAAUUUAAUUUAAAAAUAAGUAUGCUUCCUCAAAGCGUAUAAUAAUGUUAGUAACAAAAAAAAAGCGUAUAAUAAUGUUUAUACUUUUAUAAUUUACUUUAGAAUUUAAUUUAUGUCUCUUAUGCCUUUGAAUUUUAUGACAAGCUCAAAAGUAUAUUAUUAUAAAUGCAAGUAUUAUUAUCUUCGUUUGUUCA
Molecule: long non-coding RNA, 432 nt
Organism: Medicago truncatula (barrel medic)
Lineage: Eukaryota; Viridiplantae; Streptophyta; Magnoliopsida; Fabales; Fabaceae
Exons: 2
Source: RefSeq, a predicted model, not a curated record